AGUGAACGCUGGCGGUAGGCCUAACACAUGCAAGUCGAACGGCAGCACAGUAAGAGCUUGCUCUUACGGGUGGCGAGUGGCGGACGGGUGAGGAAUACAUCGGAAUCUACUUUUUCGUGGGGGAUAACGUAGGGAAACUUACGCUAAUACCGCAUACGACCUACGGGUGAAAGCAGGGGAUCUUCGGACCUUGCGCGAUUGAAUGAGCCGAUGUCGGAUUAGCUAGUUGGCGGGGUAAAGGCCCACCAAGGCGACGAUCCGUAGCUGGUCUGACAGGGUGAUCAGCCACACUGGAACUGAGACACGGUCCAGACUCCUACGGGAGGAAGCAGUGGGGAAUAUUGCACAAAGGGCGCAAGCCUGAUACAGCCAUACCGCGUGGGUGAAGAAGGCCUUCGGGUUGUAAAGCCCUUUUGUUGGGAAAGAAAAGCAGCAGGUUAAUACCCCGCUGUUCUGACGGUACCCAAAGAAUAAGCACCGGCUAACUUCGUG
Molecule: ribosomal RNA, 492 nt
Filed under: uncultured bacterium
Lineage: Bacteria
Description: partial 16S ribosomal RNA
Rfam family: Bacterial small subunit ribosomal RNA
Source: RNAcentral